Molecule: long non-coding RNA, 1424 nt
Organism: Micropterus salmoides (largemouth bass)
Lineage: Eukaryota; Metazoa; Chordata; Actinopteri; Centrarchiformes; Centrarchidae
Exons: 5
Source: RefSeq, a predicted model, not a curated record
UUUUUUUUUUUUUCCUGGUUUUCUCUGUACUCCGCCCGCCUGCCUGUGUCUCCUCCCCCGUGUGUGCUCUCUCUGUCCCUCUCUCCCUCCGCUCCAGAGCCCAGCCAACGAUCCGCACCCGCACCUCGUCAGCUGCCUCCUCUGCCUGCUACACCUGCCAGCAAUCAACUCCAUCUCUGCCAGUACUUCUACCCCGGUUCUCCAGUCAACCCCUGCUUGAUCGUCGUCGCUCCUUACCCGGUGUCACCUCAACAUUCAAACUCACACGUAUCUUUGCAUCCUUUCUAUUUCCCUGUACUUUGUCUCUGCCGUGUCUGACCCUGUUUGUCUGUCUGUCUCUCCCCAGGUUCACUCACCCUCGUCUCCAGUCAGUCAUCUGCUCACUUGCCCCUUUCCCUCGGACUACCCCCACGGCGUCCUCCCAGUUCUCCUGUGCCUCCUGGCCCUAGUGUCCCCCGGCUCUCUGGUCUCUGUCUCCUCGGUUCCCUUUGCCUGCGUUUCCCCAGCAUCCACCUCACCCUCAACUCCAGUCCUUCAACCCCUUUUUUCCCCAAAUUAACCUGCCUACCUGAGCGCUGCAUUUGGGUCCUCUCUGUCCCCACACCACACCACCGUAACACUAUAUAAAUAAAGUUUACUUACUUACCGUACCUGAGCCACUGCUUUGAAGUAACUCUCUGAAAGAAUGAUGCUCUGUGUUCCAAUGUACAAAGGGUACAACAGAAGAAAUCCUGAUCCUGCAUUUUUCUGAGAACUGUGCCUACUCAGCGUUGGCACAGACCUUUGACAUUGGCCCUGCAACAAGACUGCUAGACCAGCUAGGAUACCUCAACGACUGGGUGACCCACUGGUCUUGAGGGAGCGUAAUGCACCUCACACUGCACAGCAGCCUGCACCCAACCCCAGAAACCAGCAGGAGCAGAAGACAAGGGAGCAACAGUUUACUCCAAACUGGUUCUCAGGAACGCCAUCUGGUCCAUCUGGUUUGAAUCAAGAAAGGGACCAUGUUCUACAAAUGGCAAACCUGAUGCUCUCUUCCACCAACACUUCUCUAAAAAGCUUCCCAGCUGCUUUGUGGCAGCAAUCCUGGGAGAUCAAAUCUGUGGUGAGAGAGGCCUAGCAACACCAACUGCACCCAGGAUCAACUGCCCACUGUCCCUUCUCAAACGGCACCUCUGGCGUUGCUCAUGGUAAAUCCUCUCACUGUCCACCUGCUGCUCUGCUACGUCCUCUACCUGUCCCUGCAGACGCUGCUAUGGGGUGGCCUCAUCUGCCUGCAAGGAAAAACAAAUACACAGAGACGCUUGAGGCCACAUCUAAUUAGGUGUUCAAAACAGGGACCACCUUGCCUCAAUGGCUUUUCCUCCAAUACUUAAUAAAUAAAUAUUUUCUAUAUUGAAACAACUUGAAAUUAAGUGUAUUUA